RNAcentral lists this ribosomal RNA (301 nucleotides) under uncultured bacterium. Its description in RNAcentral is "partial 16S ribosomal RNA". It matches the Rfam family "Bacterial small subunit ribosomal RNA", at positions 509 to 807 of the family's 1533-position model. The record is from RNAcentral.
CAGUCGCCACGGUAAUACGUAGGGUGCGAGCGUUAAUCGGAAUUACUGGGCGUAAAGCGUGCGCAGGCGGUUAUAUAAGACAGAUGUGAAAUCCCCGGGCUCAACCUGGGACCUGCAUUUGUGACUGUAUAGCUAGAGUACGGUAGAGGGGGAUGGAAUUCCGCGUGUAGCAGUGAAAUGCGUAGAUAUGCGGAGGAACACCGAUGGCGAAGGCAAUCCCCUGGACCUGUACUGACGCUCAUGCACGAAAGCGUGGGGAGCAAACAGGAUUAGAUACCCGGGUAGUCCCUGUCUCUUAUAC